GAGGCGCAUCGGGGGAGUCGGAAACGACUGAGAGGAGGCCGCAGGGCCUCGACCCCUUGAACCUGAUCCGGGUCAUGCCGGCGAAGGGAUGGUGCCCCCUGGAACCU
RNAcentral lists this non-coding RNA (107 nucleotides) under Aminomonas paucivorans. Its description in RNAcentral is "TPP sequence". It matches the Rfam family "TPP riboswitch aptamer (THI element)". From Rfam's summary of the family: Vitamin B(1) in its active form thiamin pyrophosphate (TPP) is an essential coenzyme that is synthesised by coupling of pyrimidine and thiazole moieties in bacteria. The previously detected thiamin-regulatory element, thi box was extended, resulting in a new, highly conserved RNA secondary structure, the THI element, which is widely distributed in eubacteria and also occurs in some archaea. The record is from RNAcentral. Lineage: Bacteria; Thermotogati; Synergistota; Synergistia; Synergistales; Synergistaceae. RNAcentral also lists the same sequence under 1 other name.